This 303-nucleotide ribosomal RNA is filed under the name uncultured bacterium. Its description in RNAcentral is "partial 16S ribosomal RNA". It matches the Rfam family "Bacterial small subunit ribosomal RNA", at positions 507 to 808 of the family's 1533-position model. The record is from RNAcentral.
AGCAGUAGCCGCGGGAAAACAGAGGGUGCGAGCGUUAAUCGGAUUUACUGGGCGUAAAGCGUGCGUAGGCGGCUUCUUAAGUCGGAUGUGAAAUCCCUGAGCUUAACUUAGGAAUUGCAUUCGAUACUGGGAAGCUAGAGUAUGGGAGAGGAUGGUAGAAUUCCAGGUGUAGCGGUGAAAUGCGUAGAGAUCUGGAGGAAUACCGAUGGCGAAGGCAGCCAUCUGGCCUAAUACUGACGCUGAGGUACGAAAGCAUGGGGAGCAAACAGGAUUAGAUACCCCGUAGUCCCUGUCUCUUAUACA